Molecule: non-coding RNA, 21 nt
Organism: Caenorhabditis elegans
Lineage: Eukaryota; Metazoa; Nematoda; Chromadorea; Rhabditida; Rhabditidae
Source: Ensembl
UCAAUGUACUCGUUGGUUUCU